Macrobrachium nipponense is the source of this 1481-nucleotide long non-coding RNA. RefSeq lists it as uncharacterized. NCBI's taxonomy places the organism in Eukaryota, Metazoa, Arthropoda, Malacostraca, Decapoda, Palaemonidae. The transcript has 3 exons. The record is from RefSeq and is a predicted model, not a curated record.
AGUCGUGAGUGCCUCAGUGCCUCGUCGGCUGUCGUUAGUGAUGGUGGUACACUCGAACGUCCCGUUGACCCCGUUGCCUUUCCCCUCGCCUCUGUGGCACUCUUGCUGAGUGCCAUGGGAACCUUGGAAAUUGCAAAUCAAAUCAUCGAAGUGCGUCGUCUUUGUCUUAUCGGACGAGUCUGUCUUUCCCUCGUGUGCAGAGCCCCUAGGUUGAUUUUAAUAUUCAUCGCUUCGUGGAAUAACUAGCGAUGCGAUUUUAUUAUUAGGGCUGAUGAAUAAAGAGAGACGUAUUGACAGUGCUAUAAAUGCGGUCCAUUAGUGCGGGUGCUUUUGCUAGUGAAAAUUGAUAAAAGAAAAAAAUUAAAAACCUUGUGCUUGUGUGUGUGUGUGUGUGGGCAGAUACGUUGUCGAAUCCUGCCAUCAUGUGUAAGACGUGUGUCUGUUGGUGCAUCUAAUCAGAUGUUUUGUGCAAAACAAAUCCAGUCAGGGAAUCGUCCGACCUGUGGUCCAGUCUGGUGAAAUAUCACACGGUGGCAGGAAAAGAAAAAUAAAAAGAAAAAGAUAAAACUGUUGAUUCCUGAAACUUGAUUUCGUACUCUUCGAAUUCUUGGGAGAUUUUUGUGAUACAUUGAUCUCGUGCAAAUAGAACUUAUUGGUGCUUAUGACUUCGAAAUGCCAUUAAUACAUUAUUACUUUAUUUAAAGAAAAACUUCAUUUGUGGACAUCAUCAGGAAUACGUUCAUACGUUAUGUUUUGAUUGUCACGUAAUGGAAAUUUUAAAACGAGAGAGUGCAACUUCUGUGAAUAAAAUUCUGGACGCUUGACAAUCCAUGGCGGUUCUCAAAAAAGUCGAAAAAGCAAAAUUAACAUUGCAGUUCUGAUGGACUUUAAUAAACCUAUUUGAAAUUCGUGGAAUGAUGUAUUUAAUUAUGAAAAUGAAAUGUGUGCCCCUGCGGCUGUAGUAGGACGGGAAUAGUUCCGAGCCGGUAAAACAAAGAACAACUAAAUAACACCUUUUAAGGUGGGACAGGUGCGUCAGGUACUGCUGUACACUUGUGAUCGCUGUGUUAUUUGUAUCGAUGGACUGUCGUGUCUCUCUGUUGCCGUACGCUCCAACCCUACGCCACAACAAAAAUCCUAUUAAUUCUAUAUUUAGCGAAAUUGACCGAGAACGAUUCAGUAAAUCCCCUGAUGCGUAUACACUGAUGAGUAACUGAAAGUAUUGUGAAGAACUAUUUCUCGCUAUUGAUUAUUUGUUUAUACUGAACUCGGGAACAGAACGCAAAACUGUUUGUGAGAGAAUAACAAAAACCCAAGGAAAGAAUAAGGCCUGAGCUAGUCAUUGGUGUCUAACGAGUGACUGUAUUUGAACUGCUGGAUAGGUCUGUCAUUUCCACGCCCUCAGGUUGUCCAAGGCGGAGGUGUACCUGUGUCAUAGAAAGGAUACUGUUUCGUCUUAUAGACAGCUCAGUGCCAUGACC